AAUAUUGGACAAUGGGGGCAACCCUGAUCCAGCCAUGCCGCGUGAGUGAUGAAGGCCCUAGGGUUGUAAAGCUCUUUCAGUGGUGAAGAUAAUGACGGUAACCACAGAAGAAGCCCCGGCUAACUUCGUGCCAGCAGCCGCGGUAAUACGACGGGGGCUAGCGUUGUUCGGAUUUACUGGGCGUAAAGCGCACGUAGGCGGAUUGGUCAGUUAGGGGUGAAAUCCCGGAGCUCAACUCCGGAACUGCCUUUAAUACUGCCAAUCUAGAGUCCGAGAGAGGUGAGUGGAACUCCUAGUGUAGAGGUGAAAUUCGUAGAUAUUCGGAGGAACACCAGUGGCGAAGGCGGCUCACUGGCUCGAUACUGACGCUGAGGUGCGAAAGCGUGGGGAGCAAACAG
Molecule: ribosomal RNA, 398 nt
Filed under: uncultured bacterium
Lineage: Bacteria
Description: partial 16S ribosomal RNA
Rfam family: Bacterial small subunit ribosomal RNA
Source: RNAcentral